This 494-nucleotide ribosomal RNA is filed under the name uncultured bacterium. Its description in RNAcentral is "partial 16S ribosomal RNA". It matches the Rfam family "Bacterial small subunit ribosomal RNA", at positions 28 to 507 of the family's 1533-position model. The record is from RNAcentral.
GACGAACGCUGGCGGCGUGCUUAACACAUGCAAGUCGAACGGUGAAGCGCCUUCCUUUUUGGUGGGUGUGGAUGAGUGGCGAACGGGUGAGUAACACGUGAGUAACCUGCCCCCUUCUUCUGGAUAACCGCAUGAAAGUGUUGCUAAUACGGGAUAUUCUGGGUCUGUCGCAUGAUGGGUCUGGGAAAGAUAUUGUUUCGGUGGGGGAUGGGCUCGCGGCCUAUCAGCUUGUUGGUGGGGUGAUGGCCUACCAAGGCGGUGACGGGUAGCCGGCCUGAGAGGGUGGACGGCCACACUGGGACUGAGACACGGCCCAGACUCCUACGGGAGGCAGCAGUGGGGAAUAUGGCACAAUGGGCGCAAGCCUGAUGCAGCGACGCCGCGGGAGGGAUGGAGGCCUGCGGGUUGUGAACCUCUUUCGCCAGUGAAGCAGGCCUGCCUCGUUUGUGGGUGGGUUGACGGUAGCUGGAGAAGAAGCGCCGGCUAACUACGUG